This 449-nucleotide ribosomal RNA is filed under the name uncultured bacterium. Its description in RNAcentral is "partial 16S ribosomal RNA". It matches the Rfam family "Bacterial small subunit ribosomal RNA", at positions 29 to 523 of the family's 1533-position model. The record is from RNAcentral.
AACGAACGCUGGCGGCAUGCCUAACACAUGCAAGUCGAACGAGAUCUUCGGGUCUAGUGGCGCACGGGUGCGUAACGCGUGGGAAACUGCCCUUUGGUUCGGAAUAACAGUUGGAAACGACUGCUAAUACCGGAUGAUGACGAAAGUCCAAAGAUUUAUCGCCAGAGGAUGAGCCCGCGUAGGAUUAGCUAGUUGGUGUGGGAAAGGCGCACCAAGGCGACGAUCCGUAGCUGGUCUGAGAGGAUGAUCAGCCACACUGGGACUGAGACACGGCCCAGACUCCUACGGGAGGCAGCAGUGGGGAAUAUUGGACAAUGGGCGAAAGCCUGAUCCAGCAAUGCCGCGUGAGUGAUGAAGGCCUUAGGGUUGUAAAGCUCUUUUACCCGGGAUGAUAAUGACAGUACCGGGAGAAUAAGCUCCGGCUAACUCCGUGCCAGCCGCCGCGGUAA